Molecule: ribosomal RNA, 462 nt
Filed under: uncultured bacterium
Lineage: Bacteria
Description: SSU rRNA
Rfam family: Bacterial small subunit ribosomal RNA
Source: RNAcentral
AGGACUAACGCUGGCGGCGUGCCUAACACAUGCAAGUCGAACGAGGUAGCAAUACCUAGUGGCAGACGGGUGAGUAACGCGUGGUCAACCUACCUCUUAGUGGGGGAUAACUAGCCGAAAGGUUAGCUAAUACCGCAUACGAUCGUCGCGAGGCAUCUCGUGACGAUGAAAGGAGCAAUUCGCUAAGAGAGGGGACUGCGUCCCAUUAGUUAGUUGGUGGGGUAAUGGCCUACCAAGACUCCGAUGGGUAGCUGGCUUGAGAGAGCGACCAGCCACACUGGAACUGAGACACGGUCCAGACUCCUACGGGAGGCAGCAGUGAGGAAUUUUCCGCAAUGGGCGCAAGCCUGACGGAGCGACGCCGCGUGUGGGAAGAAGGCCUUCGGGUCGUAACCACUGUCGAAGGGGACGAUAUUGACGGUACCCUUGGAGGAGCCCCGGCUACUACGCGCCAGCAGCCGC